RNAcentral lists this ribosomal RNA (460 nucleotides) under uncultured bacterium. RNAcentral describes it as "partial 16S ribosomal RNA". It matches the Rfam family "Bacterial small subunit ribosomal RNA", at positions 338 to 795 of the family's 1533-position model. The record is from RNAcentral.
CCUACGGGUGGCAGCAGUGAGGAAUAUUGGUCAAUGGACGAGAGUCUGAACCAGCCAAGUAGCGUGAAGGAUGACUGCCCUAUGGGUUGUAAACUUCUUUUAUAUGGGAAUAAAAUGUUCCACGUGUGGGAUUUUGUAUGUACCAUAUGAAUAAGGAUCGGCUAACUCCGUGCCAGCAGCCGCGGUAAUACGGAGGAUCCGAGCGUUAUCCGGAUUUAUUGGGUUUAAAGGGAGCGUAGGUGGAUUGUUAAGUCAGUUGUGAAAGUUUGCGGCUCAACCGUAAAAUUGCAGUUGAAACUGGCAGUCUUGAGUACAGUAGAGGUGGGCGGAAUUCGUGGUGUAGCGGUGAAAUGCUUAGAUAUCACGAAGAACUCCGAUUGCGAAGGCAGUUCACUGGACUGCAACUGACACUGAGGCUUGAAAGUGUGGGUAUCAAACAGGAUUAGAUACCCUUGUAGUC